GAUGAACGCUGGCGGCGUGCCUAAUACAUGCAAGUCGAGCGAACAGACGAGGAGCUUGCUCCUCUGACGUUAGCGGCUGUCGUGUUAGUAACACGUGGAUAACCUACCUAUAAGACUGUUAUCACUUCUUGAAACCGGCGCUAAUACCGGAUCAUAUAUUGAUCCGCAUUGUUCCUUAGUCAACCACGGUUUUUCUGUCUCUUUUAGAUGUUUCCGCGCCGCAUUAGCUAGUUGGUAAGGUAACGGCUUACCAAGGCAACGAUUCGUAGACGAACUGAGAGGGUGAUCGGCAAAACUGGAAGGGAGACACGGAACAGACUCCUAAGGGAGGCAGCAGUAGGGAAAAGGGCGCAAAGGGCGAAAGAAGGAGGGAGAAACGCGGCGUGAGAGAUGAAGGGCUGAGGAGCGUAAAACGCGGUUAAUAGGGAAGAACAAAAGUGUAAGGAAAUAAGCACGAAUUGACGGUACCAAAUCAGAAAGCAACGGCUAACUACGUG
RNAcentral lists this ribosomal RNA (497 nucleotides) under uncultured bacterium. RNAcentral describes it as "partial 16S ribosomal RNA". It matches the Rfam family "Bacterial small subunit ribosomal RNA", at positions 28 to 507 of the family's 1533-position model. The record is from RNAcentral.